RNAcentral lists this ribosomal RNA (253 nucleotides) under uncultured bacterium. Its description in RNAcentral is "partial 16S ribosomal RNA". It matches the Rfam family "Bacterial small subunit ribosomal RNA", at positions 524 to 776 of the family's 1533-position model. The record is from RNAcentral.
UGCGAAGGGGGCUAGCGUUGCUCGGAAUCACUGGGCGUAAAGCGCACGUAGGCGGAUUGCUAAGUCAGGGGUGAAAUCCUGGAGCUCAACUCCAGAACUGCCUUUGAUACUGGCGAUCUCGAGUCCGGGAGAGGUGAGUGGAACUGCGAGUGUAGAGGUGAAAUUCGUAGAUAUUCGGAAGAACACCAGUGGCGAAGGCGGCUCACUGGCCCGGUACUGACGCUGAGGUGCGAAAGCGUGGGGAGCAAACAGG